This 477-nucleotide ribosomal RNA is filed under the name uncultured bacterium. Its description in RNAcentral is "bacterial SSU rRNA". It matches the Rfam family "Bacterial small subunit ribosomal RNA", at positions 1014 to 1498 of the family's 1533-position model. The record is from RNAcentral.
AGUUUACUAGAACUAUCAUACAGGUGCUGCACGGCUGUCGUCAGCUCGUGUCGUGAGAUGUUGGGUUAAGUCCCGCAACGAGCGCAACCCUCGUGUUUAGUUACUAACAGUUCGGCUGAGGACUCUAAACAGACUGCCUGGGCAACCAGGAGGAAGGUGAGGACGACGUCAAGUCAUCAUGGCCCUUACGGCCAGGGCUACACACGUGCUACAAUGGGGUAUACAAAGAGCAGCGAUACCGUAAGGUGGAGCAAAUCUCAUAAAAUAUCUCCCAGUUCGGAUUGAAGUCUGCAACUCGACUUCAUGAAGUUGGAAUCGCUAGUAAUCGUAAAUCAGCAAUGUUACGGUGAAUACGUUCCGGGGUCUUGUACUCACCGUCCGUCACACCAUGGGAAUUGAAUUCAUUCGAAGCGGGGAUGCUAAAAUAGCUACCUUCCACAGUGGAUUUAGUAACUAGGGUGAAGUCGUAACAAGGUA